RNAcentral lists this unclassified non-coding RNA (376 nucleotides) under uncultured bacterium. RNAcentral's name for it is "contains 16S-23S intergenic spacer region". The record is from RNAcentral.
UCUCGGCUUAUCACCGGCAGUCCCCCUAGAGUGCCCAACUGAAUGAUGGCAACUAAGGGCGAGGGUUGCGCUCGUUGCGGGACUUAACCCAACAUCUCACGACACGAGCUGACGACAGCCAUGCAGCACCUGUGUGCAGGUCCCCGAAGGGAAGAAAUCCAUCUCUGGAAACCGUCCUGCCAUGUCAAACCCAGGUAAGGUUCUUCGCGUUGCAUCGAAUUAAGCCACAUGCUCCGCCGCUUGUGCGGGCCCCCGUCAAUUCCUUUGAGUUUCACCGUUGCCGGCGUACUCCCCAGGUGGAUGACUUAACGAUUUCUCUCAGCCGCUGACUGUGUAUCGCCAACAGCGAGUCAUCAACGUUUACAGUGUGGACUAC